CACAUAUUCAUAUUUAAUCAAAUAUAACAAAUAAAUUUCAACCGUAAGAAUCCAACAUUGUGCAAGGUUGUUUCUUUUUUCUCCACUUGUGGAUUUCUUUUCAAGACAAUUAGAGUUGUAUUAAAUUGAAACAAGAAAAAUCAUGCUUAGAAUUAAAUCAACGAUGAAAUUGAGGGAACAAAUAUGUACAGUAUGUCAUGUGAUCCUUUUCAAGCCAAAAUACUGCCAUCUUUCCAAGUGAGGUGUUCAGGGUCAGCCAUAACUCUUCUUAAAUUGUACUAAACUGUACUUUUAGAGCUCCACUCAUGUAUACCCAACUUGACUUCUAAUUUUCCUUCUCCAGACAAAUACUCAGAAAAUUCAUUCUGAAUAAACUGUUUCUAAAUCCCACUCUGUACUGCUGAAAAUGCUAAGAGAUCAGAAUGAAACUCAAACCACCAGAUUCUGAUGCACUCUCUAGCCACGGUACUCUCUGGUACCUACUCUUCAACAACCUAAAAAGCCACCUAUAACAUAAAAUUUGAAAAGCAAGCGCCCAAAACCAGAGCCAGCCUGGUUGAUACAGUGAUUCACACACGGCACAAGGAAAAUGCAAUGAGACAAAGAAUUGCUCCUGGGGUACUCCAUCAACAGCUUGUAGUCAAGAUCACACAGAAAUAAACCUCAUUUUCUGUAAUGUGGGUAAGCAUCUUUUCACUUCCCACACUGCACCCUGCUUGCUAAGAGAACGCAUAACACUCCUAAUAAAAGCUCCCAUGCUCUCUUGGUUUCCAAGUGAGAAAAGAUGUCUGUGGUUUGCAUUGAAAACAGAUCAUUCCCCCCUUCCACUCUGCAAACUCAGACCGAACAAGUGGAGGAGAAAGACACCACACACUGGUGUCAAAAAGAUGGAAACUUCCCAACACUGCCAGAGAGGGGAACCCCGAGUUCCCAUUGCAGCGUUCCACACACAGCACUGGAAGCAGCCUAGCAAGACGCGUGGCCCUCCAACACUGCCAGCGAAGAAGAUCCCCACACAUCUGGCAGCAAGCCCUCCGCUCAUCCCCCGCCCUCUCUUGCCCACAGCACAAGGGGAAGUACAGAAAGAGGCUAUAACAGGAGAUCUCGCAGCACAGUCUAGGGGUUGUGUUACACCGACCUAUCGAUCAUGAUCUUGGGGUCUCCCAUCCAAGGAAUAAGGUGUCGCCCCUGCUCCUGGUACUGAGCCUUCUCAUCAUCUCGAAACAGCUUGCAGGCAUAGCCGAACACCAGCAGCUCCACACGGCUAUUCCCACCUCCACCUCCUCCUCCUCCGCCUCCUCCGGGGGGCCCGGGAGCCGCUCCCCCGCCUGACAACAACAUGAGGGGCGGCGGGCCUGCCUCUUCUGCGAUCCGUCGAGAGCCCCCGACCUCUCCGUAUAUCGACGGAGGGCGCGACCAGAAGGAGGAAACUCGCAGUAACAAUGACUGUCCGAGCUGCGAGUCCCCCAGGAGGCCGGGCCCGCGCUAAACUCCACAGCUCCAGGGCACCACAGUCGCCAUCACCCGAAACAAAAUGGCGAGCCUUCCGCUUCCGCUGGCCGGGCAGAGAGCUGCCUGGUUUCCGGCACUCGAUAGAUUCGCCUCAAAUUUCUGAGACUCUAGCGAGAAAUCAGACGAGCACGUAGCGAGAAAGGACUCUGUGCUGCCAAUGGCCGCGGUGAGGGUAGUUCGAGGCAGUGUGAGGCAGAACGGUCGGUUGUCUGGAGAGGAUUCUGACGUCAAGGGCGUGGCGAAAGUGCGGACAGGGGGUCUCGGGCCUGCUGAAGCGGCUUUCGUGUGUGCGUCAGGCAAAGAGCUGAGGCAGCCUUGCGGGGUGGUGCGCUGUGCUGAGGGAGCAGGCGCGGUCCCGCCGGCGGGAGCUGAGCGGGAUGAGAGGCGCGGCGGGACCCGCGGCCCCAGGACGUGCGGCUGUGAGGAAUUGCAGCCGUCGGAUUUGCUCACAGUGGGGGCACAGCAGCCCCAGAACCGGAGUGGGAGGUGGAUCGCUGCACUGAAGAAAAAUUUUUUCCAACAAUUGAUAAACUACACUUUUGCUAAAAUAUGUAAUCCAGACCAGAAUUUUCAGUAGUGUUUACUGUCAGCGUGAUGACUUUCUACGCCUCAGUAAAGCAGAGCUCUUCAAGAAUUCACUGUGAAGAAACGAUUUGUCUGUGUUGUAGUAAACGUUGCAAUUAAGCACAUCAUGUUUCCCAGUCUAUGGGGGUGAGUCCAUAGCCUUUGUUAACAACAGUGCUGGACACACCUUUUUUCUUUCUUCCUUUUUUUUUUUUUUUCUUAGUCAUCCUGUACAAAGAGUACUGGCAUCACUACACAGAAGGAAAGGGAGGAUAUAAAGCAGGCCAAGAAAAGCAGUGCGUGGACACUGGGAAGCAAACGUGCAGCUUGUGUCAGCAUCUAGAAAUACCCACUACCAUGUACAUGUAUUGAACAAAUGUAAAACUUUCUUUGGACAGUUUUUUUUUUUUUUCAAUUAUGGCCAUGCAACUGAAAACAGAAUCCGUUGGGAUUCCACCAUAUCUGUGACAGUGAACUGCAACGCUGAAGUAAACCACAUAACACUUCUAGGUAAUUGUGAUGUAAUGCCUGUGCACCUGCAAUUCCACAACCAAUAAAAGAUGGUUAAAAAGUGAAAUUCCUGAAGUUUACAGAUUUGCACCCCAGGAACAAACUUUGUGAUGAAUAUUGGAAGUUUUGGUAACUAUCUGAUGGCUUCACAGCCCUCAGUGAGGAAAGCUAUUUACGGUUGAUGCUUCAGACGUAUCUUGCUGUCUCUUAAAAAUAAUGACUGAGUUGUUCUAACAAAGAGAGUAGUUAUUAUUGUGUUCCUCUUUGAAAAUAUGGGUACCAAGGAGAUGCAUGGGAGCAGGCUUGAACAUCACCCCACCACGUUGUGCCCUUUUGAAAACUUGGAGUACAAAAAAAGAGCAGGAAAAAACAUCAGAAGUUAAAAGGACGAACAAUAGACUGUUUAUGAGAGAGUGUAAGAAAGUAAUUAAAUAUUGAUAUGUGGUGAUUUCAUUUCCUCCUUAAGUCUGGUAACGCAAAUGUCUCAGCAUAAAGAUAAUGUGGCACUGAAAUGGCUCUGAGCAGCUGAAGUGAUCAUGUAAUAAGUGAACUUCAGAAUAUUUUACCAGGAUAUCAGCAUUUGAGAUGAAUGUGCGAGCUGUGCAUGAGUCAGAUAAAGGACAAACGUGGAAAUCUUAGUUACAAAGAAUGCAAUUACAGAAAGAUGGAGGGAGUAUUCUAAUGAGCUCUUUAAUGGUGAAAUGGAUAAAGGCAAGCAAACAGCAGAUUUCCAGCCAGCUGAGCUAUUUGUAGAAGAAUCAAGAGGCAAUCAGGACACCCAGGAACAAUACGGCACCAGUGAUAUAAAAGAAAUUUCAAGCGUACCAAAAGAAUGCAUCCAAUGUUGUUCCAGUCAAACAGGAAUAAAGAAAUCUUGAGUGCUGAAGUUAAGAGACCUUACUGGAAACUAAGCAAAGACAGGGUAAGCAGUUAUGAAUAGAAAUGUGCUAUUUUUUGGUAAUGAAGAAGCUGUAAUUUGAGAGUGGAAAUUUAUAUACAUUCAAAGAAAGGGAUUAAAUUCCUUUAUUUUGGUUAUAGGGAGCUAAGACUGCAUAUAAGAGUGCUACCAUAAAAGAUUAUUGUUGAUCAACACAUUCAUAGUGUUCUUUGUAGUAAAAAUGGAAAGCUUAUGUAUCAUUGUAUCAGUUUUGAGACUGGGACUCAAAGUAGGUUUGUUGUCUUUGUAGAAAAUGCUCUAUUUAAACUGGAGCCAAGAUCUAAGGUUUCUUGUUUAUUACAGAAUAUGGUGUGAACUCACACUUCUGUUGGACUUCUUUAUUCUAUCUCAGUGGUAUCUUGUAAUGAAAGAGCUGCUGUGUUCUUUAGGGAAGUAUGCACAGAAUCAGUGAGCUUUACUUGAACAUUAUAUAAUUCAUCUCUUAAAGAAGAUAUUCUCUAAAUUGUCAUGACUUUUAAAGCAGGUAUUAAUGUUACUUCUGCCAUUACUGUAGGAUCCCCAUAUAAAACAUACAGUAGUUCAAGUCCAAUUUAAGUGGAAUCACAUUUUAAACACAGAAUUGCUAUAAAACAGUAUCUAAGUAAACAACUUACAGGUAUGGUAAUGGUUGUAGUAUGUAACUGGCCACAUUAAUGACUGGGUGCACAGUAGCAGAGUAAUGAUUGAGGAUUUCUGGCUUCUUCUAUUAUAAGCUUUCUGUAAUUCAUUGUUUAGUUACUUUAUUUCCAGAGAGUUACUUUCUACUUAUGUGAAGAUUAUAUUUGCCUGUCUGUGUAAAAAUAUAAGGUUAAAUGCUCUCUCCUUUUUGAUGCAGUCUUUAUGUCUAUUAAGGACCUUUCUUAAGUAUUCUCUGUUGGGUUCUUUCUUCUGUGUACAUAUAUUUCACAGCCUGCCCAAUUUCUAUGGCUAAUUUAUCUGGUUACUGUCUUCUGGCCAUGGGUCUGCUUUCUUGAUGGUGAUUUUAAGAAGCAAAGAUGCACAUAAACAUAAACAGAAAAUGUUAUACUACAGCGGGAUUGAAAGGGAGGGGGAAGGGAGUGGGAAGUAUCUGGGAAAAUACGUAACUUUUUUCCCUGAGGUGUUUGCCUUGAAAACGCCCAGCAGGUUCUAUCAGACACUUCUCAUCACAGGACUGAACAACAUAGCUCAGCUGGUAGGUGCCAUCACCUGGUUGAAGAAAUUUCAGAUACUUUCAUUUUGAUGGAGUAGAAUUUAAUGUGCGGCUGAUGACAAAACACAACAAAAUUAAAUAAACUCGUCCUUUUUUUUUUCCUUCCAUUUCUUUAUUCAAAAACAUCUUCACUGUUUUAUCAUCAAAGGCAUUUUACUACUGUGUGCCAGGAAAGAGUAAAUUAAAGUUUAUGAGUAGCACUAACAAUCAAUGUUGAAUUUGCUCCUGAAUUCUCUUAUAGCAGUAGCUCUGUUUUCAUGCUGUUUUUUUUCCCCCAAAUGGUGAUAUGUGUAUGAGACACUGCAGUUAAAAUGUAUAACAAACCUUUUCUGUUACUGUACAAAAGAUUUGAAGAGCAAGUUAAGUAGUUUUAAAAUAUAUUCAGUUUAUAGUUAAUCAAAUUCUUUACUUUCAGCUUUCAUCAUAGAUUUGCUUUUGUUGUUACUGUGAAAGCCCAUGACGUAAGUUAUAUGCAAAAUAUAAUAUCACUGGAAAUUAACUUGCAUUCUGCUUUACUGAUCUUGUGUUUGUGUUAUUUUUUAAAGUAAUGUUCCAUCUUGCAGAUAAAGUAAUCAAAAUGGACUGCUACUUUCUCGAUAGCACAGUUGUGUUUAAGAGCAACCUUCAAAGUUGAUAGCAGAUCUGUCUUACUGCAAGGAGGUUUUAUGCUAAAUUCUUUAUGCAACAAAGCUGCCAACUCUGUGUUAGUCUGUCCAAUUGUAUUUAAUCUCCUCUUAGCCAAGAAGAGAAUCCUCUCUUCUUUUCAGAAGGUCGUAGCUGAAUAAGUUUAUUGCAUGUGGAAAAGAGACUUAUUUUUCCUAUGAGGAGUACCAUUUGUUGUGGUGCAAAGCAUUCCUAACCAAACCUUGGCAACUGUUCAUCUGCUGCUUAGAGAGAACCACACUUCAUACAUGAGGAAAUAAAUGCUGUCUGAUUUUUAUUUUUUUUAACUUUACACUGUUGGAAUAUACAGACGUCAGAAGAUCCAAGUCUGCCUUAUGUAAACUUGUGUUAAAACCACUAUUAUUUAUUUGUAAUAGCGUAUUUGAAGAACUGAAGACAUUCAUUAGCUUUAAUGGAUUGUGAGGCCAUAUUUAUUACUAGUAACAACAAGGGAAUACAGAUUAUAAAUAGCUGUCAUUUCACAUUAUAAAAUGAAUGCAGAAGCUAGUUACUUGCAAAGUUUAUGGUUCUGCAAAUUCUUCUUUUUGCAAAUGAAAUGAAUGUUACUCUUAAGCUGCUACUGCUUUUUGAACCUUCUCUUAAAUGAUGCUGUGUGCUUUAGAAAAAAUCAAUGCUGCACUCCUAUGUAGACAUAAUUGCUAAAGAUUUGGGCCUGGUAGACUACUAUUCAUUCAUAGAGAAAAAAGAUAGGGAAGCAGUAGUUUGUAUUGCUCAUUAGCUUUAAUGGACUUUGAUCUUCUGUUCUGUGGAUUAUUUUUCAUUUUAUCUGCACCUAAUUUUAAAAUAUUUUCCCAAAGACCUAUGAUUGACUAUAACCUGAUAAAAAGUUUCAUAGGUGGGAGUGUGAAAGCAGUCACUGAUAGAUGCAUUAAUCAGUGCCAGAUAGCACAGUUGGACAACAUGCUGCAACUGUUGUUCUCUGCAUCCUGAAGUUGCCUAUUGAGCAAAGAAGACCUCUGGCAGCACUGUCUUCUUUCUGUAAGACUGUAUGAUUCAGAGAGAUAUCAAAUGAGAAGGCUGUAGGGCCUUCAUAUUGGUACUGCCACUUUGAGUAAUCAGACCCAUUCUUCUCUCUGGUGCUUCAAGUUUUCUUGGAUGAAAACUCCUUAGAUUUUUCUUUCCGUGUUAAAUAUUUGGCUUCCAAGUGUCUCAGCAGUGUCAACAGUUUCAUGCUCAACAGGUGGUGGUUUCAGAGUAUGACAUACACUGUGCCUUCAGAUCACUCUGUGUGAAACCAUAUGUAAUUUGCCACUUUAUUCAUGUGCUUUUUUUCUCUAGUGCAAUUUGUCAUCAUCCAUAGCACACAACUAUUGCCUUUCUCAUUCACACUUUGUCUGGGAUCAAGUGGUGAACAUGGGAGGCCAUUGGAGCUGUCAGACCUUGAUGCUGGAUCUGCUGUGUAUGAAUUGUUAGCGUUUCCAUGGUGCAAUAACAAAAAAGCUCAGUGCAACGGUUCAUUGAAGUGUGCUUAAAUGCUUCAUCCUCUGCUGUUUGAUUAAGGUAACGUCUAUUUCUGAAAACGGAUGAAGAUGGAGAAGAAACCUGUACUUACAGGCAUGCACUUAUACUCAGUGAUUUGUAGGGGGUGUGGAACUAGAUGAUCUUUAAAGUCCCUUCCAACCUAAGCUAUUCUAUGAUUUAUUUCAAAUACUUCAAUCUGCAAAAAAUGUUAAUAAAGCUUCGAGUAAUAAAUUCUGAUAUAGAAUGCCUCUUUCAUCACCUAAUCAUCAUUUUCUACUCAGAAAUAUCUCAACACUGACUGGUUCAAAGUGGUGCUUGUCCUGCUGCUUUCCUCUAUUGGUGUUGUUUUCCACAGCUUUUUUCUCCUGUUUCUAAUUACUCCGUUUCAUAAUGUAUAAUUCUGUGUGUAAGGCUCAAAGCGUUGUUGCUCUCAGCGGAAAAAAACUGAGCUACCACAUCUGGAAGAAAAACAGUCCAGGUUCUCUUGAUGCUUCUUGAAGAUGCCCUUCUGCCCAGUGCAAUGGUUAUGGUUUUCUUAACUUGAGAGUGAACUGCUGAAGACGUUGCAGACAAUAUGCCUUACCUGUACUGGAGAAGCAAAAAUGAAUGCUUCAUUGUGCUGAGUGAGUUAGUAGAAUAUUCUGUGGUUACUACAGGCACACAGACAAGAUGCAUUUACCAUCUCCAUACUGUGUGCAAUUUUAGCAUCUAGGGAAUGUAUACAUAAUAAGAGGUCAGUAUUGAUCAGCAUGAUAAGUUGAAGUCUCAGCAUACAAGCAAUCCAAGUCUUAAGUCAUUUUUCUUAUUUUGGUAGGCAUCAUAAUACAGGAAAUCUUCAGAGGGAGAUGGCAGCCUAGCAUCUGCAUCUGUGCAGCCCAAACGAUCUGUGUAUCAGUACUGCUGCCCACGCAUGUUGUGCCUGUGCUAGUCCAGCUAUAAGAUGAGACUUUCAGUAAAGUUUUCUUCAUGGCUUUUUAGUGUUUGCAAUCCUAAAUCUUUUUUUAUUCACAUUUUGAAUGUGAAUAUGUGUGUACUGAAAGCAUUCAAUCUCAUCCUAGAAUUAUUCAGUUACACUGUGAUUCUGGUUCUUUAAUAAUCUGAAGUGUCAAAGAAAAACUUUAAAAGAAAUAGGUAUGUUGAAGGUCACUCAGUGUUAACUUCGUCAGUAAGCCCAAGGGUUUCUACUGCUAUAGACCUAAGGCAGAAGGACUCGAUAAUUAGCUCUGUAUCACUUCUGUUCUGAUCUGCAUAAACUUGUUCAUAUCUUACCUUGUUAAAUAGGUGUCAGAGUGAAGGAGAGUACACCUAAAUGUUGUUAACACAGAAAGGAAAUAAAUGCUGCUCAGCAGUCGCUCAUUCCAGAAGUUCCUUCCAGUAAAGGUAAUUUACAUUCAGUACCUUGGUGGCUUCUGGUUAAGAACUUAAGGGUUUGAAAUAUUGGAUUAGACAGCUGGUUCGUGUUUCAAAGGGAAAUAAAGCAAUAACAUAAUGUACGUGUUUGAUGUGUCUUGGGAAAUAAAAUUAAUGUCUUAGAGAUCUAAUUUAUGGCAUAUGCAGCAGUAUUUUGGUAAUGGGCACUCAAGUUAGGGUGGACAACAAUAACAUGCAAACUGAAAUAAGAAUGUUAAUUAUGCAUGUUAUACUAUAUUGUAAAACUGCUUUAACUCUUUGUUCUAAUGAUAAAACCAAGUAAAUAAAUAGAAUCAGACACACAAAUCCCUAAGGUCUGGAAUAAUUAAACUCUUCUUCAUGUCCUGGGUUGCUAUUUCACAGAAAACAUCUAAUUUUCCAGGAUGCUUUAAUGUUGAUUUCUGGAAGCUUUAUGCAGUUUCUAAAUAAUCACUUUCUGGAAGGAGAAGCAUCUUCAGAAAAUUGUAACAGAUAAAAAGUUCUGAAAGACAUAGAAUAUCCAGCGCAAGGAUUUAGCUUAAGCCUUAAGUAACUUUGACAGACUUCAUAGUCACUGUUUCAGACAGCAGGUUGAACUGAUGACCUCCUGUGGUCUCUUCUAAUGUGAAUUAUCCUGUGAAUCCACCUGUCUUUUCCACUGACGCUUACUUGGUGUGAGGAAUACAGGAUCCCAUUAAUUUCAAGUAGGUCUCCUGGGCAUGCAGGUAGUGAGGAGUAGGGAGUGGGGACUAUGCUGCUAUAAAACCAAAAUGAGCUUUAGGGAUUUUAUUUGUUUUUUAAGUUUUCCUCUAUAGUGUUUCACUUGUUCACCAGCAUUUUGACUGAGGCUACAUUUUUCUUUAUUAUCAAGGCUGAAAUAAAAACCAUGCAAUACAGGAAGCUAGCACUGCUGAAGGAUCCUCAUUUUUUUUCCCCCAUCUUUUCAGAGCAGUUACUCUUUCCCUGUUGCAUUUCUUGGGAACUCACUGUUGCCAGCAAAUGAGAUGACAAGCUUCAAGAUUAGCAUUUCAUUGAGCAACAUGGACAGUAGUACAGCUACAUGAAUCACUUUUCUGCACUUCUGCCAAGAUGCCAAUCAAUGAAAAGCUCUUAAUGUUAAAUAGCAUAAAUGGGUGUGUAACCUGCAUGAAUGAGAGAGUGUGAUUGUCUUGCUAGCAACAGGGGAAUGAAGAGCACUUAAUUCCUUAAAUUUCUGUUCUUGUUUUGUGACCCAAGUGUGGAUUUAAAGGGCCUUGACAAGGAGUACCAGAGGAAAGCUAUCAAGGAUUACACUGUAUUAAUAAUUGGUUGUGUUUUUACUUGUGAAUAUUGAUCUCUGGACUUCUGUGUGAAUGCAGAGACCAGCGAAGGGACUGAGUUUGAGCUGCAAAGCUAAGUGAACAUCAGCCAGCUUUGAUCACUGAGCUGAGUGGUUGAGGUGCAAACCAGGCAUUGAACUAUACCAGGUGAAAACUUUAUGCAAAAUGCAGACAUUAAGCUGAAGUUGUAGAACAUAUUUUCUUUUAAAACACAGAGGCUCAAACUGAAAGCCUUUGUGGGAGGUCUUUGACAGCAGAACAAAUGCUUCAAACAUAGGUAAAUAUCAAUUUGUGUAAACAGGACAUCAGGAUUAGAAAAAUCCUGGAACUCUUCAAAAGGUAAAUCUGCAUUGUGAUUUUAGACAGCGGCCUAAAAUGGGAGGCUUUCCUCCACAAUGGAAGAAGACCUUAAGAAAAAGCUGCUGUCAGACCUAGCAACUUCUGAGCAAAUCCGAAGGAACCUAAAUUUACUGUGCUCAAAAAAUUACAUGAUUUAACAGAGACAGAAUGGGAUCAUCUUUAUCCCAUAUGUGACAGAGCAAAGACACUUUGCUUUUUUGGUUGUUUAGUAUCUGGGUGAUUCCUGACAACCUGCUGUCUUGAUAAUACUUGUUUCUGG
This 10187-nucleotide long non-coding RNA is filed under the name Gallus gallus (chicken). Lineage: Eukaryota; Metazoa; Chordata; Aves; Galliformes; Phasianidae. The record is from RNAcentral.